This 241-nucleotide ribosomal RNA is filed under the name uncultured bacterium. RNAcentral's name for it is "partial 16S ribosomal RNA". It matches the Rfam family "Bacterial small subunit ribosomal RNA", at positions 15 to 247 of the family's 1533-position model. The record is from RNAcentral.
GAUCAUGGCUCAGGAUGAACGCUAGCUACAGGCUUAACACAUGCAAGUCGAGGGCAGCAUUUCAGUUUGCUUGCAAACUGGAGAUGGCGACCGGCGCACGGGUGAGUAACACGUAUCCAACCUGCCGAUAACUCGGGAUAGCCUUUCGAAAGAAAGAUUAAUACCCGGAUGGUAUAAUUAGACCGCAUGGUCUUGUUAUUAAAGAAUUUCGGUUAUCGAUGGGGAUGCGUUCCAUUAGGCG